CGCAACUCUGAUAUCCUUGGCACAAUACCCGCUCUUCUUGGCCCGAUGCCCGAGUCCACGACCCGAAGCCUUCUGUCGAUACGUCGACUGAUCCACCGGCCCGACGUCCAAUCUUCUGACAUAUUCCUCCGGCACAACAUGAUUUUCCUGCUUUAAUUGUCUCAUCCUGAUCGAGGCAUCCUGCGUCACUCAAAACGCA
RNAcentral lists this long non-coding RNA (199 nucleotides) under Musa acuminata (dwarf banana). Its description in RNAcentral is "long non-coding RNA (MACU_LNC007059)". The record is from RNAcentral. Lineage: Eukaryota; Viridiplantae; Streptophyta; Magnoliopsida; Zingiberales; Musaceae.